This is a non-coding RNA of Maylandia zebra (zebra mbuna), 868 nucleotides long. Lineage: Eukaryota; Metazoa; Chordata; Actinopteri; Cichliformes; Cichlidae. The record is from RefSeq and is a predicted model, not a curated record.
CUGGAUCCAACAGACAGAGACCUCAGCUUUUGAAGAGCAUCAACCUGAAGGUAGAAGAAGAAGGUCAGACAGUACUCGAUAAGGACAAAGACCAGAGGAGUGGAGCUGAUGGCGUAGAAGUUGACAUGUCGAUUUCCGUUGUGCUUGCUGCUGCUGUUUUGUUGUUUUAGCCGUCUGUUGAACUGCAGCCAGUUUGAAAGGCCACAGAUGGAAAUAUCACAGUGUAUAUUCACUCCACCCACCCACUCAGCAUUCACAGUGACAGAUGUGCUGAGGACAGACAGAAGUUAACGAUGCACAAUUAAACUGGAAUUUAGCACCUGGAGGAAACAUUAAGUUAUGUUCGUGUUUGUGAUUAUCUGAAGUUUCCUGCUCAACAUACAUGUUUGUUUACAUUGUUAUCUGCUGCCUUUUUUAGUCACCAUCAAAUAUCACUGAGCUAUUAUGAAUUCUGAAUUUUACAUUUUGAUAUUUUUGUCCUACAUAUUUUUCAUUUUACAUUUUAUUUUUUAUAUUUUACAUGUUUUUUGCAUUUUUAAAGGCUUAAAAUACUGUUGAGAACGAAGGUUACAUUAUAUGUAAAGAGGGCCAAAUAUAAGCCCUGACGGCCAUCACUAGUCCACUGGAUGACUUUGAAAAAUAUAAAAUGUGAAUUAAAAAAGAAAAAGUAAGAUGUUGGACUAUUUACUGUAUUUUGUCAUUAACAGUGGAUAACAUCAUGAGAAUCGAUCAUAGAUUAAUUUUUUUUUAGACUAUUAGUAUAAAGAACAAAGUUUUUAUAACAAAUUUUCAGGAUUGAUGAAUCUGUAACAUCAGCAAAAUGUUUUACACUUGGUCAUGUGCAAUAAAGGACAUGUGAAUGAAUCCA